GAUGAAGAACGUAGUGAAAUGCGAUACGUAAUGUGAAUUGCAGAAUUCAGUGAAUCAUCGAAUCUUUGAACGCACAUUGCGCCCGCCAGUAUUCUGGCGGGCAUGCCUGUUCGAGCGUCAUUUCAACCAUCAAGCCCCCGGCUUGUGUUGGGGACCUGCGGCUGCCGCAGGCCCUGAAAUGCAGUGGCGGGCUCGCUGUCACUCCGAGCGUAGUAGUUACAUCUCGCUCUGGGCGUGCUGCGGGUUCCGGCCGUUAAAAGCCUUAUUUACCCAAGGUUGACCUCGGAUCAGGUAGGAAGACCCGCUGAACUUAAGCAUAUCAAUAAGCGGAGGA
RNAcentral lists this unclassified non-coding RNA (334 nucleotides) under soil metagenome. RNAcentral's name for it is "partial contains 5.8S ribosomal RNA, internal transcribed spacer 2, and large subunit ribosomal RNA". The stretch from base 1 to 120 matches the Rfam family "5.8S ribosomal RNA", at positions 35 to 154 of the family's 154-position model. The record is from RNAcentral.